UCUCGAUUGGUCUAGUGGUAAGGAUACCUGCUUGUCAUGAGUCAAUUCGCAGGUGGCCGGGGUUCGAUUCCCCGAUCGAGAG
This 82-nucleotide transfer RNA is filed under the name Xylaria castorea. RNAcentral's name for it is "tRNA-Asp". It matches the Rfam family "tRNA". Rfam says of the family: Transfer RNA (tRNA) molecules are approximately 80 nucleotides in length. Their secondary structure includes four short double-helical elements and three loops (D, anti-codon, and T loops). Further hydrogen bonds mediate the characteristic L-shaped molecular structure. tRNAs have two regions of fundamental functional importance: the anti-codon, which is responsible for specific mRNA codon recognition, and the 3' end, to which the tRNAs corresponding amino acid is attached (by aminoacyl-tRNA synthetases). tRNAs cope with the degeneracy of the genetic code in two manners: having more than one tRNA (with a specific anti-codon) for a particular amino acid; and 'wobble' base-pairing, i.e. permitting non-standard base-pairing at the 3rd anti-codon position. Lineage: Eukaryota; Fungi; Ascomycota; Sordariomycetes; Xylariales; Xylariaceae. The record is from RNAcentral.